AUGCCCCGAGGAUAGAGAAUGUAGCGCUAUCACACCCUUAGGGUCAAAAGGAAUGCGGGACAGGCUACACCCGCCGGGGCAC
This 82-nucleotide non-coding RNA is filed under the name Amedibacterium intestinale. RNAcentral describes it as "skipping-rope RNA". It matches the Rfam family "skipping-rope RNA". From Rfam's summary of the family: Firmicutes, Fusobacteria, AlphaProteobacteria, Spirochaetes. Downstream gene The record is from Rfam by way of RNAcentral. Lineage: Bacteria; Bacillati; Bacillota; Erysipelotrichia; Erysipelotrichales; Erysipelotrichaceae. RNAcentral also lists the same sequence under 1 other name.